GCCGGAGUGGCGGAAUGGCAGACGCAUACGACUCAAAAUCGUACGGGCAACCGUGCCGGUUCAAGUCCGGCCUUCGGUA
Molecule: transfer RNA, 79 nt
Filed under: Desulfuribacillus stibiiarsenatis
Lineage: Bacteria; Bacillati; Bacillota; Desulfuribacillia; Desulfuribacillales; Desulfuribacillaceae
Rfam family: tRNA
About the family: Transfer RNA (tRNA) molecules are approximately 80 nucleotides in length.
Source: Rfam by way of RNAcentral